RNAcentral lists this ribosomal RNA (253 nucleotides) under uncultured bacterium. RNAcentral's name for it is "partial 16S ribosomal RNA". It matches the Rfam family "Bacterial small subunit ribosomal RNA", at positions 524 to 776 of the family's 1533-position model. The record is from RNAcentral.
UACGUAGGAGGCGAGCGUUGUCCGGAAUUACUGGGCGUAAAGGGCGCGUAGGCGGCCUUCUAAGUCAGACGUGAAAUCCCCCGGCUUAACCUGGGAACUGCGUCUGAUACUGGAGGGCUUGAGUAUGGGAGAGGGAUGUAGAAUUCCAGGUGUAGCGGUGAAAUGCGUAGAUAUCUGGAGGAAUACCGGUGGCGAAGGCGGCAUCCUGGACCAUUACUGACGCUGAGGAGCGAAAGCUAGGGGAGCAAACGGG